Molecule: ribosomal RNA, 422 nt
Filed under: uncultured bacterium
Lineage: Bacteria
Description: bacterial SSU rRNA
Rfam family: Bacterial small subunit ribosomal RNA
Source: RNAcentral
UGAGGAAUAUUGGGCAAUGCCCGCAAGGGUGACCCAGCAACGCCGCGUGGAGGAUGAAUGUCGUAAGAUUGUAAACUCCAGUUAGAGGGGAAGAAUAGUACCGGUUGGACCGGUAUAUGACUGUACCCUCAGAGAAAGCCCCGGCUAACUACGUGCCAGCAGCCGCGGUAAUACGUAGGGGGCAAGCGUUGUCCGGAUUUACUGGGUGUAAAGGGCGCGCAGGCGGGAUAAAAAGUCAGUGGUGAAAUCCUACAGCUUAACUGUAGAACUGCCUUUGAUACUUUUAUUCUUGAGUUCGGGAGAGAGAGACGGAAUUCCAGGUGUAGUGGUGAAAUACGUAGAUAUCUGGAAGAACACCAGUUGCGAAGGCGGUCUCUUGGUCCGACACUGACGCUGAGGCGCGAAAGCGUGGGGAGCAAACA